Pararge aegeria (speckled wood butterfly) is the source of this 3257-nucleotide RNA transcript. It is a transcript of the gene named AP-1 complex subunit gamma-1, with no coding region annotated. The transcript is spliced from 21 exons. Lineage: Eukaryota; Metazoa; Arthropoda; Insecta; Lepidoptera; Nymphalidae. The record is from RefSeq and is a predicted model, not a curated record.
AACAGUUUGCGCUGUCGUAAACUAAAGUGACAUACUUGUGAAAUGUUCUAGUGAUUGUUUUGUUAAUUGUGCCAUCUUUUAAUUGGUAAUCAUGGCUUACCCCAUGUACGAAGUCGAUUGGAGUGUUCUACCUCCAGAACAAAACAGAAGGUUUAACCCAGCGUUCAAUAUUGCCACCAUAAAGCAAGUGGUAAAUGAGGCCAUAGAGAGAGUCGCGCCGGUUUCAGUGCGGAUGCAGACGCCGACCCGCCUCCGGGAUCUGAUCCGCCAAAUCCGCGCCGCGAGGACCGCGGCCGAGGAAAGGAGUGUCGUGAACAAGGAGUGCGCGUACAUUAGGUCGACAUUCAGAGAGGAGGAUAGCGUUUGGAGAUGUCGGAACAUCGCGAAACUCCUAUACAUCCACAUGCUGGGAUAUCCCGCGCACUUCGGUCAGCUAGAGUGCCUAAAGCUGAUCGCGAGUCCACGGUUCACCGACAAGCGGGUGGGGUAUUUGGGAGCUAUGCUGCUUCUGGAUGAGCGUCAAGACGUACACCUCCUCAUCACCAACUGUUUAAAAAAUGACCUUAACAGCAAUACACAGUUUGUGGUAGGGCUGGCGCUAUGUACGCUGGGGGCCAUCGCAUCGCCGGAAAUGGCGCGCGACCUCGCCUCGGAGGUGGAGCGAUUGAUCAAGUCCCCAAACGCGUACAUCAAGAAGAAAGCGGCAUUAUGUGCCUUCAGGAUCAUAAGACGGGUGCCCGAUCUGAUGGAGAUGUUCCUGCCCGCUACCAGGAGUUUGCUGACGGAGAAGAAUCACGGGGUCCUUAUCACCGGGGUGACACUCAUAACGGAGAUGUGCGAAAACAGUCCGGACACACUCAACCACUUCAAGAAGGAGAGCGGACAGCGCGAGAUUGUGCCGAAUCUGGUGAGAAUAUUGAAGAACUUAAUUUUGGCGGGUUACUCGCCGGAACAUGACGUCAGCGGCGUUUCUGAUCCAUUCCUUCAGGUUAAAAUUCUCCGUCUCCUGCGAAUACUCGGCAAGAACGAUGCCGAGGCGUCCGAGGCGAUGAACGACAUUCUCGCACAAGUUGCAACUAAUACUGAGACAAGCAAGAAUGUAGGCAACACAAUUCUUUACGAGACAGUACUAUCCAUUAUGGAUAUAAAAUCGGAGAGCAGCCUUCGAGUACUAGCUAUCAACAUCCUGGGAAGAUUUUUGCUUAAUAACGACAAGAAUAUACGAUAUGUGGCCUUGAACACACUUUUAAGGACGGUGCAUGUGGAUACGUCGGCCGUGCAAAGACAUAGGACCACUAUAUUGGAGUGUUUGAAGGACCCAGAUGUGUCAAUACGUCGUCGAGCAAUGGAACUAUCAUUCGCCCUCAUCAACGGACAGAACAUCCGAGCCAUGAUGAAGGAAUUGCUCUCGUUCUUGGAGCGCUCUGACGCGGAGUUCAAGGCUCAUUGCUCAAGUGCCAUGGUGCUGGCUGCGGAGCGGUAUGCGCCCUCCAGCAAGUGGCAUCUGGACACAUUGUUCCAGGUUCUGUUAAAGGCGGGCAACUAUCUGCGAGACGACACCGUGUCCAACACUAUUCAGAUAGUUUCGGCGGCACCUGGAGAGCGGCAGGCGUACGCUUCUAUGCGACUGUGGACUUCUCUAGAACGUUCUGCUUUGUCCGCCGAUGCCACUGAGAAGCAGCCACUUAUACAGGUGGCUGCGUGGACUAUCGGCGAGUACGGAGACAUGUUGGUGUCGGAGGCAAGCAACGCGAUAUCCAUGGUCGACGACGACGGUGUCGACGACUUCACCCGUCCAACCGAAGAAUAUGUAAUAGACAUAUACCAGAAGUUAUUAUGGUCCACACAGUUAUCGAUUACUACAAAGGAGUAUUUACUGCUUUCGCUGGCCAAGCUGUCCACACGUUUUACCACACGUGGCGGUCAAGACAAAAUUCGCGUUAUAAUUGAUACAUUCGGCUCGCAUAUCCAUAUUGAACUUCAACAGAGAGGCGUAGAACUUUCUCAACUUUAUAAACAAUACGCACACCUACGGCCGGCGUUGUUGGAGCGGAUGCCGCCAAUGGAAGCCAGCACCGCCACGGAGCGGGAGCGAGACGACAGCGACACUGAGACUGAACAGCCGCUGACCAACAUACAAACGGAACAGAACCCGCUUCUAGAUUUGAUCAACGGCUCAGAACUGCUCGCCAACGGUGAUGUGGAACACACUCCUAUAGCACCAACCAACAACAAUUCCAACACUAAUGACAUCCUGGACCUCUUAAGCGGCCUGGAUCUCAGCACGCCAAGUAUGCCAGCGCCCAGCGUGGCCGUGAGCGUUGCCAACAAUAACCUCACGUCGCCAUCCUUGCUGCUUGAUGGAUUGUUCGCGUCCGAGCCGCCGGUCACACAGCCUCAAGCGGAGUGCGUGGUCCGUGCUCUAGAGCGCAACGGCGUGCUCGUGGAGCUGUGCGCAGUGCGAGGCGGAGACACAGCGACGCUAACGAUGCGGGCGCGCUCGCACGCCGCGAGCACCAUCAGCGACUUCCUGUUCCAGGCAGCCGUGCCGCGGACGUUCCGACUGGACAUGAUGUCGCCUUCGGGAACUGUGCUGACACCGCAAGGAGAAAUCACACAAGUUCUCAAAAUCACUAAUCCAUCCAAGACACCUCUUCGCCUCCGGAUAAGAGUGUCCUACAGUAUCGACGGCAACCCCAUCCUGGAGCAGGCGGAGGUUAACAGCUUUCCGCCGGAUCUGUUCAACUGACGCGCGCCCCACCAUCAUCACCACCAGCUCGGCUGUACAGAACUAUGAUAGAAACUUUAUGAUAAAAGAGCGUCAACGUUGCUGCACACAAUCGUCGUGCCGACUUGAAAUGCAUGCGGCACACAGGCGAAUCAAUAAGCGUAAAAUGACGACCACGCAUCUACGAAGCUUCGUGGAUUUCCGGUUUUUUUUUUUUUUUUUAAUAAAGGGAGUAUUUAGCUGUAAUGGGUAGAAAUGGCAGUUCUAUAAAAGAGAUUAUUUUUUGGUAUAUUCGCUUUUCAAUAUAUUUCUAUAUUUUCGGAGAGAAUAUAAGAUCUUUUCGAGCUUUAAUAAAACCGAAUGACUGAUAUGAGGUGACACUCAAUCCGAUAUAGCUAAAUUAAACCUUACAGUAUUUUUCACAAAUGGACCAUCGUUAGUUGUGCCAGCAAACAUUCAUUAUUUCUUUUUUAUAAAUUUUCUAUUUGGGUACCUACGGGAUUUGAUUUCCAAGUGUAGGUAAACACUA